UUAGAUACCCUGGUAGUCCACGCAGUAAACGAUGAAUACUAGCUGUUCGGGGCAAAUGAGCCUUGAGUGGCACAGCGAAAGCGUUAAGUAUUCCACCUGGGGAGUACGCCGGCAACGGUGAAACUCAAAGGAAUUGACGGGGGCCCGCACAAGCGGAGGAACAUGUGGUUUAAUUCGAUGAUACGCGAGGAACCUUACCCGGGCUCAAACGCAACCGGAAUGUAUCUGAAAGGAUACAGCUCUACGGAGCCGGUUGCGAGGUGCUGCAUGGUUGUCGUCAGCUCGUGCCGUGAGGUGUCGGCUUAAGUGCCAUAACGAGCGCAACCCCUAUCGACAGUUGCUAACGAGUCAAGUCGAGGACUCUGUCGAGACUGCCGGCGCAAGCUGUGAGGAAGGCGGNGAUGACGUCAAAUCAGCACGGCCCUUACGUCCGGGGCGACACACGUGUUACAAUGGCGACUACAGCGGGAAGCCACUUGGCGACAAGGAGCGGAACCCGAAAAGUCGUCUCAGUUCGGAUUGGAGUCUGCAACUCGACUCCAUGAAGCUGGAUUCGCUAGUAAUCGCGCAUCAGCCAUGGCGCGGUGAAUACGUUCCCGGGCCUUGUACACACCGCCCGUCAAGCCAUGGAACCCGGGGGUGCCUGAANUGCGUGACCGCAAGGAGCGCCCUAAGUAAAACCCGUGACUUGGGCUAAGUCGUAACAAG
Molecule: ribosomal RNA, 708 nt
Filed under: uncultured bacterium
Lineage: Bacteria
Description: bacterial SSU rRNA
Rfam family: Bacterial small subunit ribosomal RNA
Source: RNAcentral